GCAGGAGUAGCGAAGUGGUCAAACGUGCUAGGUCCAGGGCCUAGUGGCUUAGUGCCUUCGGGGGUUCGAAUCCUCCCUCCUGCA
Molecule: transfer RNA, 84 nt
Filed under: Microcaldota archaeon
Lineage: Archaea; Nanobdellati; Microcaldota
Description: tRNA-Leu
Rfam family: tRNA
About the family: Transfer RNA (tRNA) molecules are approximately 80 nucleotides in length. Their secondary structure includes four short double-helical elements and three loops (D, anti-codon, and T loops). Further hydrogen bonds mediate the characteristic L-shaped molecular structure. tRNAs have two regions of fundamental functional importance: the anti-codon, which is responsible for specific mRNA codon recognition, and the 3' end, to which the tRNAs corresponding amino acid is attached (by aminoacyl-tRNA synthetases). tRNAs cope with the degeneracy of the genetic code in two manners: having more than one tRNA (with a specific anti-codon) for a particular amino acid; and 'wobble' base-pairing, i.e. permitting non-standard base-pairing at the 3rd anti-codon position.
Source: RNAcentral